This 526-nucleotide ribosomal RNA is filed under the name uncultured Acidobacteriota bacterium. RNAcentral describes it as "bacterial SSU rRNA". It matches the Rfam family "Bacterial small subunit ribosomal RNA", at positions 355 to 871 of the family's 1533-position model. The record is from RNAcentral. Lineage: Bacteria; Pseudomonadati; Acidobacteriota.
UGGGGAAUAUUGCGCAAUGGGCGAAAGCCUGACGCAGCAACGCCGCGUGGAGGAUGAAGGCCUUCGGGUCGUAAACUUCUGUCAGGAGGGAAGAAGGUCGCCGGGCAAAUAACCCGGUUGGCUUGACGGUACCUCCACAGGAAGCCCCGGCUAACUCCGUGCCAGCGGCCGCGGUAAUACGGAGGGGGCAAGCGUUAUUCGGAAUCAUUGGGCGUAAAGGGCGCGUAGGCGGCUUGGCAAGUCGAAGGUGAAAUCCCCCGGCUCAACUGGGGAACUGCCUUCGAAACUGCCAGGCUAGAGUCCGGGAGAGGGUAGUGGAAUUCCCAGUGUAGCGGUGAAAUGCGUAGAUACUGGGAGGAACACCAGUGGCGAAGGCGGCUACCUGGACCGGUACUGACGCUGAGGCGCGAAAGCGUGGGGAGCAAACAGGAUUAGAUACCCUGGUAGUCCACGCUGUAAACGAUGGGCACUCGGUGCUGCGGGUAUCGACCCCUGCGGUGCCUUAGCUAACGCGUUAAGUGCCCCG